CUAUAGCUCAGUUGGUAGAGCAGCGGCCUUUUAAGCCGAGGGUCCCAGGUUCGAGUCCUGGU
RNAcentral lists this transfer RNA (62 nucleotides) under marine eukaryotic metagenome. It matches the Rfam family "tRNA", at positions 7 to 64 of the family's 71-position model. Rfam says of the family: Transfer RNA (tRNA) molecules are approximately 80 nucleotides in length. Their secondary structure includes four short double-helical elements and three loops (D, anti-codon, and T loops). Further hydrogen bonds mediate the characteristic L-shaped molecular structure. tRNAs have two regions of fundamental functional importance: the anti-codon, which is responsible for specific mRNA codon recognition, and the 3' end, to which the tRNAs corresponding amino acid is attached (by aminoacyl-tRNA synthetases). tRNAs cope with the degeneracy of the genetic code in two manners: having more than one tRNA (with a specific anti-codon) for a particular amino acid; and 'wobble' base-pairing, i.e. permitting non-standard base-pairing at the 3rd anti-codon position. The record is from RNAcentral.